GGUGUGCAGUCGCUCGAGAUUCCCGAGCUUUGCGUUAUUAGUCGCGUUUAAACCGUCGUUCCGAGUUGUUGUAGCAGGGUACGCCGGAAUAUAUAAAUUGAUGACCGCAUUAAUAAUAAUAAAAAUAAAAUUGUGAAUAACUUUCAUAUAUAUCCCGAAUAAUACGCGUUUUAAUUAAAAAAAGUGUAAUAAAAUGUGCGACCAGAAUUCUGCCUCGACGCAGAGCAUCGCCGACUACCUGGCUCAGUUAUUGAAAGACAGGAAGCAACUGGCCGCUUUUCCCAAUGUGUUUCUACAUGUAGAACGACUUCUGGAUGAAGAAAUUGCCCGAGUGAGAGCGAGUCUGUUUCAAAUAAAUGGAGUAAAAAAGGAGCCCCUAGUGUUACCCGAGCCGGACGGACAAGUGACGACACUCACAGAAAAAGUAUAUGUACCGGUCAAAGAACAUCCAGAUUUCAAUUUCGUGGGAAGGAUCCUCGGGCCCAGAGGCAUGACCGCCAAGCAAUUAGAACAAGAAACCGGCUGUAAAAUCAUGGUGCGAGGGAAGGGCAGCAUGAGGGACAAAAAGAAGGAGGAUCAGAACAGGGGCAAACCGAACUGGGAACAUUUGUCCGAUGAACUUCACGUCUUAUUAACGGUUGAAGAUACGGAGAAUAGGGCGCAAUUGAAACUACACAGGGCGGUCGAGGAAGUCAGAAAAUUACUUGUACCACAAGCAGAGGGCGAAGACGAACUGAAAAAGCGACAGCUAAUGGAACUGGCCAUCAUAAACGGCACCUACAGGGAUUCCAGCUCGAAGGCCGCAUCGGCAACAGUCUUCACUGACGUAGAUCUCUCGACUCUUGCAGCGGCCGACGAGGAGUGGAGGCGAGUGGCGGCUGCGGCCGUCGAAACCCAACGGCUGCUCUCCCCCGGGAUGCCGGGACUCGCCACUUCCCUUAGGGCCCCUAAUGGACCCUUGGGGGCCCCACUCAUCCUUAGCCCCCGCAUGUCCGUACCCACCACCGCCGCUAGCAUAUUGAACGGAUCGGCACCCCAUGGAUCUCUGCUGUCUCCCGGGGAUCCACACGGGUUGAUUUACGCCCCCUAUGCGGACUACACCAACUACACCGCCUUGGCUGCCAGCCCUUUAUUGACCGAGUACACCACUGCGGAUCAUUCGGGUGGGUUAUUCGCGCGUUGACUCGCGUCCCCAAUUUUUAUGUGUUCCACGAGACAGCAACAGGGGGCGCCCUAUUGUUACUACUAUCCGACCGGACGGUGACUUCCGAUCCUACCGAGACUGCGCCCGAUUCAAUUUCACUUAACGGUUUGUUUAAUAAAAUUAAUGCGCGUGUGCGUUUCACGGGAAUUCGUAGGCGUAGGGUAUGAAACCGGAGUUUUCAUGUGAGGACAUAAAGUUCUUUUGAAUUAGUCGUUUUUAUGAGUAAAUAUUUAAAAUUAAAGUUUUCUUUCAGGCAGUCCCUUUCAGUCUGUCGAAUUUCUGUUUUUCAAGCAUUAUAUGUUUAUCUAAGUCAUCUUAGGCCACGUUCUUUUUCUAGAUUAUAAAAGCAUCUAUAUUGUUUCUUUUUUUUUCAGGCGGUUUAAUUCAUGCGUGCCUUAAAUUGAGACGACGAAAGUAAAAGUGGUAUCAAGUCACUUGAAUAUGUUUUUCAGAUUAAUCAAACUAAAAGCAUCAAAGAAAAAAUACUAUAUAUGCAUAAAUGUAAUAUAAAACAAUAUAAAUCGAACAAAAUCACAUACCUGAACUAGUAGUUACAGGUAAAAAAACGAUAGCAAGCAAUAAGUCCAAUAAAAAAAUGAUUUAUUCUAUAAAGUCCUUUACAGACUCUUGUUUAUAAAGCUGAAAAAAAUUAAUAAAUCUUAAUAUGCCGAUCACUCUAAAAAAAGUCCAUCUACAGAUAUAGAGUGUAAACGUAAACAAAUAUAUAAAAAUGGGAUCUUAAUUAAAACAGCAUUUCUUUCAUCAGAAAUCAUCAGGUAAAUGAUUGUAAAGGGUUAUCCAUUUUAUGCUUGGGAAAGUAAAGUUAAAUAAAACACACAAGAUAUUAUUCAGAUGGAGACGAAAUUUUUAUUUUGUUUUAAAGAUUGAAUCAUUCCAUUAUAAUUAUGUGAAACACAAUAUCAUUUAAAUGUUCACCGCGGGACCUCUGACAAACUUCAAUCCUUUUAAGACAAUUUCAAUCACUUUUCGGCACAUUUCAGGUGUGGAAUGUUGGCUUUAAGUUGUUGAAGAGUUUGAGGGCUAUUGGCGUAGACACGAUCUUUCGCAUAGCCCCACAAAAAAAAUCCAAAGGUGUGAGAUCACAGAAUCUUGGGGGCCAAUAGAUAGAUAUCACCUAAUCUUGAAAUUAAACGUCCUGGAAACUUCUCUUGCAAAAGAGCUCGGUUGGCCUGUGUUGUGUGACUUGUGGCCCCGUCCUGUUGGAACCACAUGUCUUCCAGAUCUUCUUCUUCGAUUUCUCUCCAAAAAUAAUUGGUCAACAUGCUUCCAUACCGCUCAGAGUUUACUGUUAAGGCUCUCCCACGAUUGUUUUCAAUAAAAUACGGACCAAUGACACCACCAGACCAUAAUGCACACCAUACAGUCGCUUUUUCGGGAUGCAAAGGCCUUUCUAUGAUCACCUGAGGAUUUUCAGAACCCCAUAUAUGCGGCGAUUCUGUUUAUUUACGUAGCCACACAGCGUAAAUGGAGCCUCAUCACUGAAGAAAAUUCUGCUCGAAAAAUGAGCAUCAGCAGCUUGUUGUUCAAGCAUCCAAUUUGCGAAUGUUCUGCGUUGUCCAUGGUCUGUAGGCUUAAGUUCUUGAGUGAGUUGGACUUGCACAACUCGCACAACUCGCCACAGUGAGCCGUAAGACAAACCCAAAUUUUGAGCACGCCAAGGAAUUGACAAAUUUGGGUCUUCCUCCACACUUUGAGCCACAGCAGUAAUAUUUUUAGCUGAACGAGCGUUACGGUGAUGCACGUGCCUUACAAUAUCAGUAACCGAUCCAGUCUCUUCAAAUUUUCUUACUGUGUUCGAAAUUGUUUGCUCUGUAGGACGAUUAUGUCGACCCUAAUCAGCUCGUAAAGCUCUAAACGUUGAUACAGGAGAAUUACCAUUCAACUAAAAAAAAAUGCUUCACACGACGUUUAUUUCUGACAGGGGUCAAACGGCAGGGUUGUACUCUUAGCCAACCUCGAAUUGGAUAACUCGCUAUAAUUGACUGGGAGGUUCUGGGGAUAAGUAAUGGAAGCCUAUAAGUUUGCCUAGUUUGCCAUAAUUAGACAAAUGCUUAACAUUGUGCUCUUAUAUUCUUAUGUAUCAGUGACACUGUUUCGAAUAUAAUCAAAGAUGGUACUAGAAAAUGUUAUUAAUCAAUAAAGAGUGGUUUACAUGAGUCUCUCACUUUGACUUUAGUCACAGACCUAAUUGCUCUUUUCUGAAAGAUAAAUACUAUUUGCAUCAGCUGAAGUUUUCAUAUUAAGUUUUUAUUAAAUUAUACAUAUACAUAUACCGAGUGCUUCAAAAGUUAAAAGGGACUUUAUGCUCUCACUGUAUAAAUUUACAUUAAAAUUUUUUGUUUAUUUCGCUUUGUUUCUCCGGUCCUACAAUACCUAAAAUGGCAAAAAAAAAUGGUAAAAACAAUAGGGUCACCCUUCUGCACCGGCAACUGAUAACAAAUAAAAAUUGGGGUUACUUUUACCGUAUUUAAUAGUCCUAAAGGAGGGUCAAAAGCCCCAUCCUCUCCGGACGACGAACUGUUGCACUUUUAUUCAACGUUUCCGUACAGUGUUUUUUUGUUAGUCGAUAAGUUUAUUAUUUUUUUUAGGUUAAUAAAAUUGAACGCGCCCUAUGCCUUAGGGCCGUUUUAAAAGAACAUUACUUAAUAAUAAUUUAGUCACAAUUUUUACAAUUUUUUUAUUAUAUUUUUCUGUGAUAAUUUCUAACCAUUCAGGUUAUUCGAACGUUACGUACUGUAUGUAAUAUUAUCAGUUUAUUUUAUUUUCAUGAUCAAAUAUUUUUAUUUUAUUUUAAUUAUGUUUGCUUUUUUUUACUUUCGUUUUAGUAUUGAAUAGCACGAAUACGCAAGUCAAGUUUUUAUAAAUUUUUUGCUUAAAUCUCUGUUUAUGUCAUAUUUUAGUGAUGGCAGGGGCGUAUUCUAGACAAAAAAAAAUUGUCGUUAUUAUUAGUUAUAGUGAGUUAAGUGCCGUUUCACUCUAAUGCUUCAUUAGUUUUCUUAUUUACAACUAUUUAGAAGAGAAUUUUUAAAUUCAUAGAUACGUUCCUGACUGAUUUUUUUUUCCUGACCAUUGACGUUAUUCGGAGAUUUUUGCGAAAAUAAUAUAAUAUGUAAUUUUUAGCCUUAAGAUGUACAUUUAUUUAUUUCUAUAGUCUUUUUUAUCGGUCCUUAUUAUGGUUAUUUUUUUAUAAUAGUUUUCAAAUUAAUUGUAUAUUUGAUAAAUGAGAAAAGAGCUAAGAACAAUGGUGCUAUUGAAUGUCGCAGUUUUACCUCAGAAAUGUGAGUAAAGAGGCGGGAAUGCUCAACUUUCUUGAUAAAUUUUAUAGAUGCUGCUUGGACCUCCUUUAUUUUCAUCAGAUAUUCAAAAAAUUUCAAAAAAGAGUGUUAAUUUUUGAAAAAGGGGGACCUAUACUGCCUGUACUCAAAUUAAAAAAAAUCUGCACAAAGUUCAAUUUUUUCUUUAUCCCCAUGUUUUUUUAGUAAAUUUAUAACUGAUAAAUCAAUGUCCUGUGAUCAAAGUUCUUAUGGUCCAUUAUGAACUAACAGUGAGUGAGUGAGAUAUUUUCUUCUCUACAAGAAAAGGUCAGUCAAAGGUCCAAGGAAAUCAACAACUUUCCAUAUAUUUAAAGGUCCUGGAAUAAUUAUUCAUUUCUUCCAGGCAGUUGAGGUCAUUUCAGGCAGUUAAAGCGACUUUUCACGUGCUCAAAGUUUUUGGAAAAAAAGUCGUUUUCUUCCGGAAAUUUGAUGGUUAAUUUCAACGAUUUCCAAGCAGGUGAAUUGAGUUUUCACGUACUCCUGAAAAAUGUUUUGUUUUUUCCAGGCACUCGGUUCAAUAUUUCAACACUUCCAUGCAGCUAAAGGAAGUUUUUAUGUGCUCCAAGUUUCCAUAAAAUUGUUUCGUUGCUUCCAGGUUAUCGGAGUAACUUUCAAAGUUUCUCCUGACAAUUAGAGUGAGUUUCCAUAUGUUUGAAGAACACGGAAUAAUUAUUUAUUUCUUCCAGGCAGUUGAGGUAAUUCUUUAACAUUUUCAGACAGUUAAUGCGACUUUUUAGGUGCUCGAAGUUUUUGGAAAAAAAUCGUUUUCUUUUAGAAAUUUAAGGUUAAAUUUUAACGUUUUCCAAGCAGAUAAAGUGAGUUUUGGUGUACUCCAAGUUACUGAAAGAUGAUUUGUUUCUCCCAGGCACUUGGUUCAAUAUUUCCAUAUUUCCAGGCAGUUAAAGGAAGUUUAUAUAUGCUCCAAGUUUCUAUAGAAUUGUUUCGUGGCUUCCAGAUUAUCGGAGUAACUUGUCGAAGUUUCUCCAGACAAUUAAAGUCAGUUUCCGGGUUUUUUCAAAAAAUGUUUUCCUUCAGAAAUUUGAGGUUAAUUUUCCAAGCAAGUGAAGUGAAUUUUCGUGUACUCCAAGUUUCUGGAAGAAUAUUUUGUUUCUUUCAGGCAUUUGAGUCAAUGUUUCAACAGUUCCAGGCAGUUAAAGCGUCUUUUGAGGGGCUCGAAAAAUUCGUUUGUUUCAGGAAUUUGAGGUUAGUUUGCCUGCAGGUGAAUUGAGUUUUCAUGUACUCUAAGUUCCUGUAUGAAUGUUUUGUUUCUUUUAGACGAUUGAAGUCACUUUUCCAGGUUCUACCAAACUGUUCUACAGCUCCUCAAAAGUAUUCAUUUCUUCUAGGUACUAGCGACAAUACUUCAACAUUUCUAGGCAGUUAAAGAACGUUUAUGUGUGCUCCAAGUUUCUAAAGAAACGUUUCGUUGCUUCCACAUUGUCGGAGUCACUUUUCCAAGUUUUUCCAUCUAAUUAAAUUGAGUUUCCGUAUGUUUCAAGGUCCUUGAAUAAUUAUUGAUUUUUUCCAGGCAGUAGAGAUCACUUUUCAACAUUUCAAGGCAGUUAAAGCGACUUUUCAGUUUCUCGAAGUUUUUGGAGAAAAAUUCGUUUCUUCCAGAAAUUUGAGGUUAAUUUUCAAGUCUUUCCAAGCAAGUGAAGUAAAUUUUCGUGUACUCCCAAGUUUCUGGAAGAAUAUUUUGUUUCUUCCAGGCAUUUGAGUCAAUGUUUCAACAGUUCCAGGCAGUUAAAGCGUCUUUUGAGGUGCUCGAAAAAUUGGUUUGUUUCGUAGGAAUUUGACGUUAGUUUGCCUGCAGGUGAAUUGAGUUUUUAUGUACUCCAAGUUCCUGUAAAAAUGUUUUGUUUCUUUCAGACGAUUGAGGCACUUUUCCAGGUUCUACCAAACUGUUCUACAGCUCCUCAAAAAUAUUCAUUUGUUCCAGGCACUAGCGACAAUACUUCAACAUUUCCAGGCAGUUAAAGAACGUUUAUAUGUGCUCCAAGUUUCUAUAGAAAUGUUUCGUUACUUCCAGGUGGUCAGAGUCACUUUUCCAAGUUUCUUCAUUCACUUAAAUUGAGUUUCCAUAUGUUUCCAACAUCCUGGAAUAAUUAUUCCAGGCAGUUGAGAUCACUUUUCAAUAUGUCCAGGCAGUUGAAGCAACUUUUCUCGUGCGUUCCAAGUUUUUAUGAAAAAAAUCGUUUCUUCUAGGAAUUUGAGGUUGUUUUUCAACGUUUUCCAAGCAUGUGAAGUGAAUUUUUAUGCACUCUAAGUUCCUGGAAGAAUAUUUGUUUCUUCCAGGCCCUUGGGUCAAUUUUUUAACAUUUCCGGGCAGUUAAAGGAAGUUUAGAUAUGGUCCAAGGUUCUAUAGAAAUGUUUCGUGGCUUCCAGAUUAUCGGAGUAACUUUUAGAAGUUUCUCCAGACAAUUAAAGUAAUUGACGAAAAGUCACGGUCUCACAACAUGUAAUAAACGGGCUACGCGUGUUUCGCUCUAGUUAGAGCAUCAUCAGGCCUUUAGAAGCUAUCCACACACUUCACAGUAUAUAAACAAAAAAAGUUUUUAUGUGGUCCAAGUUUCUAUAGAAAUGUUUCGUUGCUUGCAGGUUAUCGAUUACUUUGAAAACUUACGCCAGACAAUUAAAGUGAGUUUCCAUAAGUUUCAAGGUUUUUUUCAAAAAAUUCGUUUCUUCCGGAAAUUUGAGGUUAAUUUUCAAGUCUUUCGUGAAUUCUCCAAGUUUCUGGAAGAAUGUUUUAUUUCUUCCAGGCAUUUGAGUCAAUAUUUCAAUAUUUCCAGGCAGUUAAAGGUUGUGUGUGCGCCAAGUUUCUAAAGAAACGUUUCGUUGCUUCCAGGUAGUCAGAGUCACUUUUCCAAGUUUCUCCAUUAUAAUAAAUUGAGUUUCUAUAUGUUUCAAGAUCCUGUAAUAAUUGUUCAUUUUUUCCAGGCAGUUGAGAUCACUUUUCAACAUUUCCAUACAGUUAAAGCGACUUUUGAGGUGCUCGAAAAAUUCGUUUGUUUCAAGAAUUUGAGGUUAGUUUGCCUGCAGGUGAAUUGAGUUUUCAUGUACUCCAAGUUCCUGUAAGAAUGUUUUGUUUCUUUCAGACGAUUGUAGUCACUUUUCCAGGUUCUACCAAACUGUUCUACAGCUCCUCAAAAGUAUUCAUUUCUUCUAGGCACUAGCGAGAAUACUUCAACAUUUUUAGGCAGUAAAGAAAGUUUAUAUGUGCUCCAAGUUUCUACAGAAAUGUUUCGUGGCUUCCACAUUGUCGGAGUCACUUUUCCAAGUUUUUCCAUCUAAUUAAAUUGAGUUUUUAUAUGUUUCAAGGUCCUGGAAUAAUUAUUGAUUUUUUCCAGGCAGUAGAGAUCACUUUUUAACAUGUCAAGGCAGUUAAAGCGACUUUUCAGUUUCUCGAAGUUUUUGGAGAAAAAUUCGUUUCUUCCAGAAAUUUGAGGUUAAUUUUCAAGUCUUUCCAAGCAAGUGAAGUGAAUUUUCGUGUACUCCCAAGUUUCUGGAAAAAUAUUUUGUUUCUUCCAGGCAUUUGAGCCAAUGUUUCAACAGUUCCAGGCAGUUAAAGCGUCUUUUGAGGUGCUCGAAAAAUUCGUUUAUUUCAGGAAUUUGAGGUUAGUUUGCCUGCAGGUGAAUUGAGUUUUCAUGUACUCCAAGUUCCUGUAAAAAUGUUUUGUUUCUUUCAGACGAUUGAAAUCACUUUUCCAGGUUCUACCAAAAUAUUCUGCAGCUCCUCAAAAAUAUUCAUUUGUUCUAGGCACUAACGAGAAUACUUCAACAUUUCCAGGCAGUUAAAGAACGUUUAUAUGUGCUCCAAGUUUCUAUAGAAAUGUUUCGUUGCUUCCAGGUGGUCAGUGUGACUUUUCCAAGUUUCUCCAUUCAAUUAAAUGAAACAAAUCGUUUCUUCUUGGAAUUUGAGGUUAGUUUUCAAGUUUUUCCAAGCAGGUGAAGUGAGUUUUUAUGUAUUCCAAGUUCCUGGAAGACUUUUUUUCUUUUUUUCCAGGCGAUUAAGUCACUUUUCCAAGUUCUACAGCUCCUCAAAAAUAUUUAUUUGUUCCAGGCACUAGCGACAAUACUUCAACAUUUCCAGGCAGUUAAAGAAAGUUUAUAUGUGCUCCAAGUUUCUAUAGAAAUGUUUCGUUGCUUUCAGGUGGUCAGAGUCACUUUUUCAAGUUUCUCCAUUCAAUUAAAUUGAGUUUGCGUAUGUUUCCAACAUCCUGGAAUAAUUAUUCCAAGCAGUUGAGGUCACUUUUCAAUAUGUCCAGGCAGUUGAAGCGACUUUUCUCGUGCGUUCCAAGUUUUUAUGAAACAAAUCGUUUCUUCUAGGAAUUUGAGGUAAUUUUUCAACGUUUUCCAAGCAUGUGAAGUAAGUUUUUAUGCACUCCAAGUUCCUGGAAGAAUAUUUGUUUCUUCCAGGCACUUGGGUCAUUUUUUUAACAUUUCCAGGCAGUUAAAGGAAGUUUAGAUGUGCUCCAAGUUUCUAUAGAAUUGUUUCGUGGCUUCCAGAUUAUCGGAGUAACUUUUAGAAGUUUCUCCAGACAAUUAAAGUAAUUGACGAAAAGUCACGGUCUCACAACAUGUAAUAAACGGGCUACGCGUGUUUCGCUCUAGUUAGAGCAUCAUCAGGCCUUUAGAAGCCAUCCACACACUUCACAGUAUAUAAACAAAAAAAGUUUUUAUGUGGUCCAAGUUUCUAUAGAAAUGUUUCGUUGCUUGCAGGUUAUCGAUUACUUUGAAAACUUACGCCAGACAAUUAAAGUGAGUUUCCAUAAGUUUCAAGGUUUUUUUCAAAAAAUUCGUUUCUUCCGGAAAUUUGAGGUUAAUUUUCAAGUCUUUCGUGAAUUCUCCAAGUUUCUGGAAGAAUGUUUUAUUUCUUCCAGGCAUUUGAAUAUUUCCAGGAAGUUAAAGGUUGUGUGUGCGCCAAGUUUCUAAAGAAACGUUUCGUUGCUUCCAGGUAGUCAGAGUCACUUUUCCAAGUUUCUCCAUUAUAAUAAAUUGGGUUUCUAUAUGUUUCAAGAUCCUGUAAUAAUUGUUCAUUUUUUCCAGGCAGUUGAGAUCACUUUUCAACAUUUCCAUACAGUCAAAGCGACUUUUGAGGUGCUCGAAAAAUUCGUUUGUUUCAGGAAUUUGAGGUUAGUUUGCCUGCAGGUGAAUUAAGUUUUCAUGUACUCCAAGUUCCUGUAAGAAUGUUUUGUUUUUUUCAGACGAUUGGAGUCACUUUUCCAGGUUCUACCAAACUGUUCUACAGCUCCUCAAAAAUAUUCAUUUGUUCCAGGCACUAGCGACAAUACUUCAACAUUUCCAGGCAGUUAAAGAACGUUUAUAUGUGCUCCAAGUUUCUAAAGAAACGUUUCGUUGCUUCCACAUUGUCGGAGUCACUUUUCCAAGUUUUUCCAUCUAAUUAAAUUGAGUUUUUAUAUGUUUCAAGGUCCUGGAAUAAUUAUUGAUUUUUUCCAGGCAGUAGAGAUCACUUUUUAACAUGUCAAGGCAGUUAAAGCGACUUUUCAGUUUCUCGAAGUUUUUGGAGAAAAAUUCGUUUCUUCCAGAAAUUUGAGGUUAAUUUUCAAGUCUUUCCAAGCAAGUGAAGUAAAUUUUCGUGUACUCCAAAUUCCUGGAAGAAUGUUUUGUUUGUUCCAGGCACUGGGGUCAAUUUUUCAAUAUUUCCAGGAAGUUAAAGGUUGUGUGUGCGCCAAGUUUCUAAAGAAACGUUUCGUUGCUUCCAGGUAGUCAGAGUCACUUUUCCAAGUUUCUCCAUUAUAAUAAAUUGAGUUUCUAUAUGUUUCAAGAUCCUGUAAUAGUUGUUCAUUUUUUCCAGGCAGUAGAGAUCACUUUUUAACAUGUCAAGGCAGUUAAAGCGACUUUUCAGUUUCUCGAAGUUUUUGGAGAAAAAUUCGUUUCUUCCAGAAAUUUGAGGUUAAUUUUCAAGUCUUUCCAAGCAAGUGAAGUAAAUUUUCGUGUACUCCUAAGUUUCUGGAAGAAUAUUUUGUUUCUUCCAGGCAUUUGAGUCAAUGUUUCAACAGUUCCAGGCAGUUAAAGCGUCUUUUGAGGUGCUCGAAAAAUUCGUUUGUUUCGUAGGAAUUUGACGUUAGUUUGCCUGCAGGUGAAUUGAGUUUUUAUGUACUCCAAGUUCCUGUAAAAAUGUUUUGUUUCUUUCAGACGAUUGAGGCACUUUUCCAGGUUCUACCAAACUGUUCUACAGCUCCUCAAAAAUAUUCAUUUGUUCCAGGCACUAGCGACAAUACUUCAACAUUUCCAGGCAGUUAAAGAAAGUUUAUAUGCGCUCCAAGUUUCUAUAGAAAUGUUUCGUUGCUUCCAGGUGGUCAGUGUGACUUUUCCAAGUUUCUCCAUUCAAUUAAAUUGAGUUUCCAUAUGUUUCCAACAUCCUGGAAUAAUUAUUCCAGGCAGUUGAGGUCAUUUUUCAAUAUGUCCAGGCAGUUGAAGCGAUUCUUCUCGUGCGUUCCAAGUUUUUAUGAAACAAAUCGUUUUUUCUAGGAAUUUGAGGUUAAUUUUCAAGUCUUUCCAAGCAAGUGAAGUCAAUUUUCGUGUACUCCAAAUUCCUGGAAGAAUGUUUUGUUUGUUCCAGGCACUGGGGUCAAUUUUUCAAUAUUUCCAGGAAGUUAAAGGUUGUGUGUGCGCCAAGUUUCUAAAGAAACGUUUCGUUGCUUCCAGGUAGUCAGAGUCACUUUUCCAAGUUUCUCCAUUAUAAUAAAUUGAGUUUCUAUAUGUUUCAAGAUCCUGUAAUAGUUGUUCAUUUUUUCCAGGCAGUUGAGAUCACUUUUCAACAUUUCCAUACAGUCAAAGCGACUUUUGAGGUGCUCGAAAAAUUCGUUUGUUUCAAGAAUUUGAGGUUAGUUUGCCUGCAGGUGAAUUGAGUUUUCAUGUACUCCAAGUUCCUGUAAAAAUGUUUUGUUUCUUUCAGACGAUUGUAGUCACUUUUCCAGGUUCUACCAAACUGUUCUACAGCUCCUCAAAAAUAUUCAUUUGUUCUAGGUACUAGCGACAAUACUUCAACAUUUCUAGGCAGUUAAAGAACGUUUAUGUGUGCUCCAAGUUUCUAUAGAAAUGUUUCGUUGCUUCCAGGUGGUCAGUGUGACUUUUCCAAGUUUCUCCAUUCAAUUAAAUUGAGUUUCCAUAUGUUUCCAACAUCCUGGAAUAAUUAUUCCAGGCAGUUGAGGUCAUUUUUCAAUAUGUCCAGGCAGUUGAAGCGAUUCUUCUCGUGCGUUCUAAGUUUUUAUGAAAAAAAUCGUUUCUUCUAGGAAUUUGAGGUUAGUUUUCAAGUUUUUCCAAGCAGGUGAAGUGAGUUUUUAUGUAUUCCAAGUUCCUGGAAGACUUUUUUUCUUUUUUUCCAGGCGAUUAAGUCACUUUUUCAAGUUUUACCCAAGAGUUCUAGAGCUCCUUAAAAAUAUUGAUUAUUUCUAGACAUUAGCCACAAUACUUUAACACUUCCACGCAGUUUAUAUGUGCUCCAAGUUUUUCCAUCUAAAUUAAUUGAGUUUCCACAUGUUUCAAGAUCCUGGAAUAAUUAUUGAUUUUUUCCAGGCAGUAGAGGUCACUUUUAACAUUCCAAGGCAGUUAAAGCCACUUUUCAGUUUCUCGAAGUUUUUGGAAAAAAACUCGUUUCUUUCAGAAAUUUGACGUUAGUUUUCAAGUUUUUUCAAUGAAGUGUAGUGAAUUUUCAUAUACUCCAAAUUCCUGAAAGAAUGUUUGGUUUGUUCCAGGCACUUGGGUCAAGUUUUUCAGGCAGUUAAAGAUAGCUCACAUGUGCUUCAAGUUUCUAUAGAAAUGUUUCGUGGCUUCCAGGUUGUCGGGGUAACUUUUCCAAGUUUUUCCUGACAAUUAAAUUGGGUUUCCGUAUGUAUAUGUACAUCCUGGAAUAAUUGUUAAUUUUUUCAAGGUAUUUGAGGUCACUUUUCCACAUUUUCAGUCAGUUAAAGCGGCUUUUCGUGCGUUCCAAGUUUUUUGGAAAAAAAUCGUUUCUUCCAGGAAUUUGAGGUUAAUUUUUAACUUUUUCCAAGCAGGUGAAGUGAUUUUUCAUGCACUUCAAGUUUCUGGAAGAAUGUUUUCUUUCUUCCAAGCACUCAAGUCAAUUUUUCAACAUUUCAAGGCACUUAAAGCAAGCUUAUACGUGCUCCAAGUUUCUAUACAAAUUGUCAAGUUUUUCAUAUCAAGUAAAGUGAAUUGUUAAGUACUUCAAGUUCUUGGAAGAAUAUUUUGUUUCUUCCAGGCACUUGGGUCAAUUUUUUAACAUUUCCAGACAGUUAAAGAAAGUUUAUACGUUUCGUUGCUUACCGUUUAUCAUAGUAACUUUUCAAAGUUUCUUCAAGCAAUUAAAGUGAGUUUGCAUAUGUUUUAAGAUCCUGGAAUAAUUAUUUAUUUCUUCCAGGCAGUUGAGGUCACUUUUCAACAUUUUCAGGCGGUUGAAGCGACUUUCCAGUUUCUCGAAGUUUUUGGAAAAAAAUCGUUUCUCCAGAAAAUUGAGGUGAAGUUUUUCCAAGCAGGUGAAGUGAGUUGUCAUGUAGUUCCUGGAAGAAUAUUCUCUUAUGGAAAAAUUAAAACAGUUCUUCCCUCUAAUUCUAGGCAGUGGAAACUAUUAAUUAGGCAGUUUUUUUUUAAUUUCCAGGCAGUGAGGCCAUUUCAAGCUCCUUAUUUAAUUAAUUUUUUCCUUCCAGGCACUUAAAAUAGUCACUUACCCCCAACCUUGAAAUGAAUUUGUGAUUUUUUUUUUCCAUACAGCAAUGAAAGAAUCGAGCAUUCCUUGCCAAAUAUCUUUGCUGAAACGCGAUUUAUAAAAAAAAAAAAAUUGUUAAUUUUAAUAUAAUAAUUUGUAUAUUUAUAUACUUAGUUAGGUUGUUUUUGAAUUAGAAUAAUUAUUACCCGUAUUUUUACAAUGCAUUUAUGUGUUUUUAAAUCAUACUUCUAGUUAUAUAUUAUAAACAAUUGUAAAUAUUCAAAAAAAAAAACAUGAUUGCUGAGUUAGUUUUAAAUAUCAAUCAAAGUGCUUUAAUUGUUAAGUAGGCUACAAAGUAGUAUUGUUAGUGUUUUAUUAUUAUUAUUAUUAUUACUGUGGUGUCAAAGUUCAUUUUUUUGAUUACGCGUGCCAUCGUUGUGACGUCAGAAGUUUAAAAAAAAAAAAAUGAAUUUCGACCAAUGGGAGUCGAGCCACCACCAUUGACUGUUCGAUGGUGUGCGCAGACUCGUCGAAAACUAACGGAUUUAUUUGCGCAGGUGCGUCGGCGGUUGCCAAGCAACGCCGUCUCGGACAAAUCAGAGAGCAUCCGUACCAAAGAGCAGGCGCGCUCUCUUAAACUCAUGCUCUUUUUAAAAAAAAAGGUUAGUUUUUAUUAUUUCUUCUUUUUUUUUUAUUUUUGUUGUUGUUUUUUGUAGGUAUUUUAUAAUUUUUUUUCAGUAUUUUUUUGACGGGCUUUUUUUUUUUAAAUUGUUUUGACACAGGGGUCUGUCGGAUUUUUUUUUCUUUAAUUGAAAGGCAGCUUAAAAGGCAAAGGUGACUUUUUUUUGACAGGUGACAGCGCAUAACCUUGGUAAUCAUUUUAACUUGGUGUCAAAUUCAAACUCAAUUAUUAAUUAUAUUACAAUACAGUACAUCACAAAAGUUAUGUCUAAAUUCAUUUAAAAUUCAGGGGUGUGUUCGAAAAGAAAACGCUCGGACCCGUCGAUUUUUAUUCCAAGUUGCGCAUUUUUGUACGUGAAAUUUGUACGUACAGGGUUGCUCAAAAAUACAUUAACGACCAUCAACUUCAUUUUUUCAAAUGAAAGCACCUUUUUUUUAUUUCAUCUUUGAAUUUCGCGUGAAAUCUACGUAUGUUUCAUGCAUCAUGUCCUACACCUAAAGUCAACAGUUAUCGAAAAAAUACGAUUCAUGUAACAAAUAAAAAAAGAACAAAAAUUAAGUUAAAUGGUUGCCAUUCACGGCUUGAUAAUAUCCAAGGCGAUCAAUAAAGUCUCGUUGCACACUUUUAAUCAUUUCCGGAGUUACGGGGCGCGCACUUCUCUGGGGAUUCUCUCUUUCAAGUCGUCUAGAUUAUUUGGCCUAUUAACAAAUACCUUCGACUUGAGCAUCUUUCUUUUAAAAGGAAAUAAUUAGAAAAUUACUUCUUCUGCCUGAAAUAAAGACAUACUUAGGCAAACUGCCUGGAAAAAUCCAGGAAAUUGCUGUAAUUAAUUUGAGAGGCCUGGAAAAAAAUUUAAUUAAUUUUCCAGUCAGUUGAACACCUUGCAUAUGUGAGCAUCUUUCUUUUAAAAAGGAAAUAAUUAGAAAAUGACUUCUUCUGCCUGGAAGAAAGACAUACUUAGGCAAACUGCCUGGAAAAAUCCAGGAAAUUGCUGUAAUUAAUUUGAGAGGCCUGGAAAAAAAUUUAAUUAAUUUUCCAGUCAGUUGAACACCUUUCGUACAAGAACAUCUUGUAUUUCGAAGGAAAUAAUUAGAAAAUUAUUUUUUCUGCCUGAAAGAAAGACAUACUUAGGCAAAUUGCCUGGAAAAAUCCAGAACAUUGCUAUAAUUAAUUUGAAAGGCCUGAAAAAAAUUCUAAUUAAUUUUCCAGGCAGUUAAAGCUUUUUCAUACAUAAACAUCUUGUUUUUAGAAAGUAAAUAAUAAAAAAAAUUAAUUCUUCUGUCUGGAAGAAAGAAAUGCUUAUGCAAACUGCCUGGAAAAUUCCAGAAAAGUGCUAUAAUUAAUUUGAGAGGCCUGGAAAAAAAUGUAAUUCAUUUUCCAAGCAGUUGAGGACCUUGCAUAUGUGAGCAUCUUUCUUUUAAAAGGAAAUAAUUAGAAAAUGACUUCUUCUGCCUGGAAGAAAGACAUACUUAGGCAAACUGCCUGGAAAAAUCCAGGAAAUUGCUGUAAUUAAUUUGAGAGGCCUGGAAAAAAAUUUAAUUAAUUUUCCAGUCAGUUGAACACCUUUCGUAUAAGAACUGUCUUGUAUUUCGAAGGAAAUAAUUAGAAAAUUAUUUUUUCUGCCUGAAAGAAAGACAUACUUAGGCAAAUUGCCUGGAAAAAUCCAGAACACUGCUAUAAUUAAUUUGAAAGGCCUGAAAAAAAUUUUAAUUAAUUUUCCAGGCAGUUAAAGCUUUUUCAUACAUAAACAUCUUGUUUUUAGAAAGUAAAUAAUAAAAAAAAUUAAUUCUUCUGUCUGGAAGAAAGAAAUGCUUAUGCAAACUGCCUGGAAAAUUCCAGAAAAGUGCUAUAAUUAAUUUGAGAGGCCUGGAAAAAAAUGUAAUUCAUUUUCCAAGCAGUUGAGGACCUUGCAUAUGUGAGCAUCUUUCUUUUAAAAGGAAAUAAUUAGAAAAUGACUUCUUCUGCCUGGAAGAAAGACAUACUUAGGCAAACUGCCUGGAAAAAUCCAGGAAAUUGCUGUAAUUAAUUUGAGAGGCCUGGAAAAAAAUUUAAUUAAUUUUCCAGUCAGUUGAACACCUUUCGUAUAAGAACUGUCUUGUAUUUCGAAGGAAAUAAUUAGAAAAUUAUUUUUUCUGCCUGAAAGAAAGACAUACUUAGGCAAAUUGCCUGGAAAAAUCCAGAACACUGCUAUAAUUAAUUUGAAAGGCCUGAAAAAAAUUUUAAUUAAUUUUCCAGGCAGUUAAAGCUUUUUCAUACAUAAACAUCUUGUUUUUAGAAAGUAAAUAAUAAAAAAAUUAAUUCUUCUGUCUGAAAGAAAGAAAUGCUUAUGCAAACUGCCUGGAAAAUUCCAGAAAAGUGCUAUAAAUAAUUUGAGAGGCCUGGAAAAAAAUUUAAUUCAUUUUCCAAGCAGUUGAGGACCUUGCAUAUGUGAGCAUCUUUCUUUUAAAAGGAAAUAAUUAGAAAAUGACUUCUUCUGCCUGGAAGAAAGACAUACAUAGGCAAAUUGCUUGCAAAAAUCCAGGAAAUUGCUAUAAUUAAUUUGAGAGGCCUGGAAAAAAAUUUAUUUAAUUUUCCUGGCAGUUAAAGACUUCAUACGUGAAUCUCUUGCUCUUCAAUGAAAAUAAUUAGAAAAUUACUUCUAAUGCCUUGACGAGAAAAAUACUCAGGCAAAUUACCUGGAAAAAUCCAGAAAACUGUUAUAUUUAAUUUGAGAUGCUUAGAAAACUAAUUUUCCAGGCAGUUGAAGAUCUUUUCUGCGUGAACAUCUUGAGCUUCAGAGAAAAUAAUUAGAAAAUUACUUUUAAUGCCUGGACGAGAAAAAUAGUCAGGCAGAUUGCCUGGAAAAAUGCAGAUAGUGCUAUAAUUAAUUUGAGAGGCCUGGAAAAAAAUUUUAUUAAUUUUCCAGGCAGUUAAAGACCCUGCAUGUGCGAGCAUAUUUUUUUCAAAGAAAAAUUAUUAGAAAAUUUCUUCUUCUGCCUGGAGGAAAGAAAUACUUUGGAAAAUUGCCUGGAAAAAUCCAGAAAACUGCUAUAAUUAAUUUGAAAGGCCUGAAAAAAAUUUUAAUUAAUUUUCCAGAUAGUUAAAGCUUUUUUAUACGUGAACAUCUUGUUUUUCGAAGGAAAUAAUUAGAAAAUUUCGUUUAAUGCCUGGAAGAAAGAAAAAAUUAGGAAAAUUGCCUGAAAAAAUCCAGAAAAGUGGUUAAUUUAAUUUGAAAAGCCUAAAAAAAAUUAAACUAAUUUUCCAGGCACUUAAAGCUUUUUCAUAUAUGAAAAUCUUGUUUUUAGAAAGUAAAUAAUUAGAAAAUUAAUUCUUCUGUCUGGAAGAAAGAAAUGCUUAUGCAAAUUGCCUGGAAAAUUCCAGAAAAGUGCUCCAUUUAAUUUGAGAGACCUAGAAAAAAAUGUAAUUAUUUUUCCAGGCAGUUAAAGACCUUUCAUACGUGACCAUCUUAUUUUUCAUAGGAAUCAAUAAUGUAGAAAAUUACUUCUUCUGCUUGGAAGAAAGACAUACUUAGGCAAAUAGCUUGGACAAAUCCAGAAAAUUGCUAUAUUUAAUUUGAGAGGCCUAAAAAAAAUUAAACUAAUUUUCCAGGCAUCAGUUGAAGAUCUUUUAUAGGUACGUGAACAUUUUGUUUAUCGAAGGAAAUAAUUAGAAAAUUAAUUCUUUUGUCUGGAAGAAAGAAGUGCUUAUGCAAAUUGCCUGGAAAAAUCCAUAAAACUGCCAUAAUUAAUUUAAAAGGCCUGGAAAAAAAAUUUAAUUAAUUUUCCAGGCAGUUAAAGCUCUUUCAUACGUGAACAUCUUGUUUUUCAAAGGAAAUAAUUAGGAAAUUUCUUUUAAUGCCUGGAAGAAAGAAAAAAUUAGGAAAAUUGCCUGAAAAAUUCCAGAAAAGUGCUCCAUUUAAUUUGAGAGACCUAGAAAAAAAUUUAAUUAAUUUUCCAGGCAGUUAAAGACUUUUCAUAGAUGAAGAUCUUGCUUUUUAAAGAAUAUUACUGGAAAAUUACUUUUAAUGCCUUAAAAAAAGAAAUAAUUAGGCAAACUGCCGGGAAAAAUCCAGAAAACUGGUAUAUUUAAUUUAACCUGCCUAAAAAAAAAAUUGAUGUUCAACUGCCUAGAAAUUGGAAAAAACACAACGAAUUCAUCCAAAAAAAAAACAGCUUUUUUUAAUUAUUCUUCAUUAUCAAAAAACACUUGCCGAUUUUCUUCACCUUAAAGCCUUUGCCUUUAAAAAAAAAAUAAAGAAAAAAAGGGCCUCCUCAGUAUAAUAUUAGGGUUACCAAUUUUUUUAGUUUUUUUUCCCUUGAAAAAAAAGAAACUAAAAGUAGCGUAGAACGAGUACCUCAAUAAAGCAUCACACACCUUUGUGAUACCUAGUCCAGAUUUUUAUACGUAGUGUAUUUAUGUUUUUAUUUUUUACUGCAACAUAGACUAGACCCGCGACCGAAAAACGUCUAAAAACAAACAAAAAAAACCUCCCUCUUCUAGUCUUUUAAUUUUCUAGUCUAAAACCAUCGGUAGAACCGACUUUUGGGCCCUAAUUUUCUGAACAAAAAACGCCUUUUUUCUCUCGAAUUCAUAUUAUUUACUCUACAAAAUAGCCUUUAAGUAAUUUAAAUCGUUUAUAUAUUAUUAUUAUAUUUGUAUAUGUUGUUGACUUGCGCCAAUGUGGAAAAUAUAUUUAUACGAAAAACAUA
RNAcentral lists this unclassified non-coding RNA (18577 nucleotides) under Anthonomus grandis grandis. RNAcentral describes it as "protein held out wings". The record is from RNAcentral. Lineage: Eukaryota; Metazoa; Arthropoda; Insecta; Coleoptera; Curculionidae.